Molecule: ribosomal RNA, 300 nt
Filed under: uncultured bacterium
Lineage: Bacteria
Description: bacterial SSU rRNA
Rfam family: Bacterial small subunit ribosomal RNA
Source: RNAcentral
CGCGUAAGAAUCUGCCCUCAGGAAGGGGAUAACAGUGGGAAACUACUGCUAAUACCCUAUAAGCGCAUGCGUAAAAGCCUUCGGGCACCUGGGGAUGAGCUUGCGUCUGAUUAGCUAGUUGGUGAGGUAAUGGCUUACCAAGGCGAUGAUCAGUAGCUGGUCUGAGAGGAUGAUCAGCCACACUGGGACUGAGACACGGCCCAGACUUCUACGGGAGGCAGCAGUGGGGAAUUUUCCGCAAUGGGCGCAAGCCUGACGGAGCAAUACCGCGUGGAGGAUGACGGCCUAUGGGUUGUAAAC